This 301-nucleotide ribosomal RNA is filed under the name uncultured bacterium. Its description in RNAcentral is "partial 16S ribosomal RNA". It matches the Rfam family "Bacterial small subunit ribosomal RNA", at positions 509 to 808 of the family's 1533-position model. The record is from RNAcentral.
CAGUAGCCGCGGGAAUACGGAGGGUGCAAGCGUUAAUCGGAAUUACUGGGCGUAAAGCGCACGCAGGCGGUCUGACAAGUCAGAUGUGAAAUCCCCGGGCUUAACCUGGGAACUGCAUUUGAAACUGUCAGGCUGGAGUCUUGUAGAGGGGGGUAGAAUUCCAGGUGUAGCGGUGAAAUGCGUAGAGAUCUGGAGGAAUACCGGUGGCGAAGGCGGCCCCCUGGACAAAGACUGACGCUCAGGUGCGAAAGCGUGGGGAGCAAACAGGAUUAGAUACCGUGUAGUCCCUGUCUCUUAUACA